This 2353-nucleotide ribosomal RNA is filed under the name Triticum aestivum (bread wheat). RNAcentral describes it as "partial small subunit ribosomal RNA". The record is from RNAcentral. Lineage: Eukaryota; Viridiplantae; Streptophyta; Magnoliopsida; Poales; Poaceae.
GCUGCCAUUGCCGUCGCGUGUGGGUCACCUACGGUGACGGGCACUGGAGCGGUACCCGUAGGGGGAAACCUCGUUUUCCGCACCGAUCGUCGCUAGGUACCACAGGAGCCGCAGCGGGUUGGUGAACCUGUUGUUACCGGAGAGGCACACGUACGUACCUGCGCCACUGCCGUGUGCACUUUCGUGGGCGAGUGCCGAGUGCAACUGUAGGAGCACCGGGCCUCGCCUCGAAAAUAUAGCCGCGACCUGCCGCUGCGGCGGUUGUAAAGCUCGUGGACUCAAGAACGACGGCAGCUCAUCGAUCGACGCCCUACAGCCCUCGCCUCGGUAGCCGCCGCCGCCGCCCCCGCCCCCGCCCGUUACCGGUCGUGCGCCGCCACCUAUAGGCGUGCCGCCGCGUCGUCGGGCUCCUCGGCUCCGUCUGCAGGUACUCGCCCGGCGAGUUGGAGGCCUCGCUGGCCUCCGGCGGCGGCCGCGUCUCCCGGAAGUCGGCCGUCCACAGGGACCCGUCGCCGCAGUGCCACUACCCGUACCUGUCUCCGCCCUCCUUGCCGCCGUCCGGGCCCGUCGCGCGCGAGGGCGCGUCGCCGUUCUCGGAGCCGCACGAGUUGGUGUCGCCGCCGGAGCCGGGCCUGCCGCGGGGCGCGUCCCCGCCGCUGAAGUCGUACAAGGCCUGGUUCAGGUGCGAGUCGUUCGUCUUGAGGUACGACGGCAGGUCCUAGUUCCUCCUCGACCUGCCGCAGCUGGACCUGGUGCAGCUCCCGGUCGGGUGGCCGUCCGGGCUGCACCUGGGAGAGUUGUUCUCGCAGGGGCGGCCGGCGAUGAAGCGGCGCGAAGCGCCGGGGCUCGAGCUGCUUCAGGCGCAUUCAGUAGGUAGGUAGAACAGGAGCGACUAGUCAUACUAAAACGACUUUUUAGUAUGAUGACUGACUUGACAAACAUGCAUCCUGAUGCUUCUGUAGGACGACGGGUUCCUGCUCCACACCGGCAAGGACGACGCCAAGGGCUAGCCGACGAAGCCGCAGACGGACCCCGAGCCGUCGGUCCGGUAGGACACCCCGCGCGACCGCCGCUCGGGCCGCUACCCCAAGGAGGCCCACUGCGGGUACUAGUUGCAGCGGCACACCGACGACCGCUGCCGGCACGACCACCGGUGCAGGCAGUGGAUGCGCGAGUUCACGCAGAAGAUGAAGCUCCGGUAGGCCGCGCUCAAGAAGGUGGGCCACGCGCAGUUGAAGAAGAAGUGCGGCAGGUAGCGGCGGUACAAGGAGCGGUAGCCGGAGGGGGCGCGGAAGCGCGGCCGCUCCGACGUGGGCCGGCACACCACGCGCAAGCACCGCGGCGACAAGCGCGACCUCGAGUUCUAGAUGCCCGUCACCGACAGCCCGCCGUUCGCCUCCGACACGUUCCACCGGUUGGGCAGCAGGGUGGACAGGCACCACCCGUUGAAGCACCCGCGGUAGGACCGCCGCGCCCAGCCCACCCUCCUCCGGCCGUUCAAGGACACCCGGUAGCCGCAGAGGGUGAUGUAGCAGCAGAAGCAUUGCGAGAUGGUCGCCGACGGGUGGUUGCUCCGCGACGGGUACCUCGACGUGGGCCAGAUGAGGUACAAGUAGCGGUGCGGCAGGCGGCGGUCGGAGCGGACCCGCCGGUAGAUGCCGUCGAAGCUGCGGCAGCGCGCGUGGAAGAAGAAGUACCGCGAGAAGGAGAUGUACAGGGAGCAGCACGCGUAGUUGAAGAAGGCACCGAAGGCCAAGAGGUAGCGCACCACCAGGAUGUGCAAGGGGUACUGCUGCCGCAGCGACCGCUGGCAGUUCAUACGGCUCCGGCACGGCACGAAGUGCUCGUCUCGGGAGCGCGACUCGGACAGGGAGUACAGCUGCUGGUACCACAGCGACGACGAGCACAGCUGCGAGGACGUGCGGAAGAUGACCGCGAGCGACAAGGGGUUGCUGGAGCGGUAGCGGUAGUGGUUCCUGGCCGUCUCGCCGCGGCCCUCCGGCGUGCCGUUCCCCUCCUUCCGGCCGUUCUCCCACUUGCUGUAGUUCGCCACCCGGUUCGUCCACGGCGAGAGCCAGCAGAGGAGGUAGUGGUUCUCGUUGAGACGUCUGUUCCUUCUUCUCCUCUUUUGUCUGAUCAACAUGUAUGAUACACACUAAUUUGUCGUAAUGUCCCAAGGUACCGAACUAGUCGUAAUGUCCCAAGGUACCGAACUAGUCGUAUUUAUUCUGUGAAUAUUAUCAUUAUGAUAUACCUAACAUCAUUGGAUCUCGAUCUUCCUUAUGAUCAAUACCUAACUAGUGUUCUCUCGACAUGUAGAGAAUCGAAUAAGAGUAAAGAGUGAUCUUGACCG